This 349-nucleotide RNase P RNA is filed under the name Defluviitalea raffinosedens. RNAcentral describes it as "Bacterial RNase P class A". It matches the Rfam family "Bacterial RNase P class A". Rfam says of the family: Ribonuclease P (RNase P) is a ubiquitous endoribonuclease, found in archaea, bacteria and eukarya as well as chloroplasts and mitochondria. Its best characterised activity is the generation of mature 5'-ends of tRNAs by cleaving the 5'-leader elements of precursor-tRNAs. The record is from Rfam by way of RNAcentral. RNAcentral also lists the same sequence under 1 other name. Lineage: Bacteria; Bacillati; Bacillota; Clostridia; Lachnospirales; Defluviitaleaceae.
UGAGUAAAUCAGACGGUCGCGAGUACAGUACCGAAAGGUCGUACUUGAGGAAAGUCCGAGCUCCAUAGGGCAGGGUGCUGGGUAAUACCCAGUGGAGGCGACUCUAAGGAAAGUGCAACAGAAAUAAACCGCCAGUUUUACUGGUAAGGAUGGAAAGGUGAGGUAAGAGCUCACCGCUCCUUAGGUGACUAAGGAGGCUCUGUAAACCCCACCCGGAGCAAAACCGUAUAGGGGAACAUAUGCGGUGGCCCGCCGUGUUCCCGGGUAGGUUGCUUGAGCGUAUAGGCAACUAUACGUCGAGAUAGAUGACCGUUUAAUACAGAACUCGGCUUAUAGAUUUGCUCACUUA